GGCCAAGUCUCGCCGCCAGGCACUUCUGAGACCUCGGGCAGCUGGAAGCACGGUUCCGGGAGGCGUCCGCGUGGUCCCUAAAGGGAGAGGUCGUGAUCCUUCUACCAUUCUGACCGUUUCAGAAUCCGGAGUAGCAAUUAAGAUGGACAAGUCUUCGUUGACACUCUCUUUGGGGUCCAGCAUAGCAGAGAAGGAAGACAACUCACCGCGAAUGUAUAGUUGUUUCUCCUCACAAGAGAGUAAGGAGACUUUUUAAAGAAGUGGAUUAUCACAAAUUAGGAAAAGUAAAGGGCCCUACUUCUUCUAGAAUCUAUACCAAAAAUCAUGAAAAUUAAGCCACUCUGCUGCUGAGUACUGUGUGGACAAAAUUAAAGGGCUAUCCUGCUGUGCACCUCCAGGAAGUGUCACUGGCACUGCGGUCUACGUAAAAGGAACUCCUCAACUUAAGUAGCAAAUGAUGAGCAGCCCAGUAUUGAAGACUUGCUUAUACAGAUGUCUAAACACGUCUAAGAUACUGCAGAAAUGCUAAACAUCCAGGCCUGGGAAGCUGCCGGUCACCCUGUACACACUGGCUGGAAACAGAAAGGAAAUAGGACGUGAGGGAAACGAACACGACUUCCUCCCGCGAAUCUCCAUAGCCUUCCCAAACAGCACCACCAACUGGGGAGAAGGGGUCGAAGCACAUGCCCCUGUGAAGGAAGUUCACAGUGAAAUCGCUGUGGCUCUCAAUACUUGAAGCAUUCCCGGGGCGGUUACAAUCUAACCAUUCUCUGUCUUUAUUGCCUGUAAUUUGGCGUGAGCCGCAACCCUCUGGUGCUCCUCCAACACAUUACUAAGGAACUGCUGCAACUAGAAGGACAGAGACGAUUGAUCAGUACCACCACGCUGCUCAAUGGCACAAAGU
Molecule: long non-coding RNA, 904 nt
Organism: Meriones unguiculatus (Mongolian gerbil)
Lineage: Eukaryota; Metazoa; Chordata; Mammalia; Rodentia; Muridae
Exons: 6
Source: RefSeq, a predicted model, not a curated record